CUAAUUCAGUUAAUGAGACUGUUCACUCAAGCUUUGUGCUACAGCUACGUUCCUGACUAGGCACUCUAAAGAUCUAUGGGGUAAUAGCAACUUCAACCGAAUCCAACACCCACUGUUGGAGAAGAGGCGUUCGGAAGUUGUUACCAUGGCGACAGAUGACAGUGUGGUUCAAACGUAGAGGUAAGUUAGAUCGAAAGCAAACUCGGAACGAAACAUGGCUGAUAGGAAGCACUUCAUAUUAUUCCCAAUUAAAUGCUGUCUUAGAAAUUAUAAUACAUAAUUUACACAUGUAAAGGUAAAGCUGAAACGGAUAAAACAUGAUCGAUCGUUUUUCCUGCCAUGAAUGCUAUCUGCACAGACAUGAGUAAUGCUAGUGCAGAACUUCCAGUAGGAAAUGCCUACAUCACUAUUCAUUGUCACAAUAUAACAAGAUAUCUGAACGAUUAUCUAGCUUCACUAGCUUCGAACGUCUCAAACAAUUCUGGUAUACAAAACGAAGAAGAAA
This 505-nucleotide unclassified non-coding RNA is filed under the name Centruroides sculpturatus (bark scorpion). RNAcentral describes it as "uncharacterized LOC111614378, transcript variant X3". Lineage: Eukaryota; Metazoa; Arthropoda; Arachnida; Scorpiones; Buthidae. The record is from RNAcentral.